Molecule: ribosomal RNA, 1471 nt
Filed under: uncultured bacterium
Lineage: Bacteria
Description: 16S ribosomal RNA
Rfam family: Bacterial small subunit ribosomal RNA
Source: RNAcentral
UCAGGAUGAACGCUGGCGGCGUGCCUAAGACAUGCAAGUCGAGUGGGUUUAGGCCCACGGCGAACGGGUGAGUAUAACUCAGGAAUUUUAUUUAGGCGGGGCAUAAUCAGUCGAAAGGCUGGAUAAUUCCCCAUAGUCCCAGUGCGGAGUACUGGAAAUUCCAAAACACAAGUUCCAAAUUUCAAACAAGUUCCAAAUUUCAAUUUCAAAAUAUCAAACUAAAAGUUUUGGAUAUUGAGCUUUGAACAUUAAGCAUUGUUUGUUAUUUGUUUCUUGAUAUUUGGGGUUUGCAGCGCUCUGCACUGGUUAAAGAUUUAUCACCUAAAUUGAAGCCUGAGCACCAUCAGCUUGUUGGUAAGGUAAAAGCUUACCAAGGCUAUGACGGUUAGGGGCCUCGAGAGGGGAAACCCCCACACUGGGACUGCGACACGGCCCAGACUCCUACGGGAGGCAGCAGUUUGGAAUAUUGGACAAUGGGCGAAAGCCUGAUCCAGCGACGCCGCGUGGACGAUGAAGGCCUUCGGGUUGUAAAGUCCUUUUGCUAGGGAACAAUAUUUUGAGUGUACCUAGAGAAUAAGAGGUUGCUGACUCUGUGCCAGCAGCAGCGGUAAUACAGAGACCUCAAGCGUUAUCCGGAAUUAUUGGGCGUAAAGCGUACCGAUCGGCGGUUUUAUAAGUCAGAAGUGAAAUCUUCAGGCUCAACCUGGAGUCUGUCUUUUGAAACUAUAAAACUAGAGGGGCAAAGAGGAAGCUGGAACGAGCGGUGUAGUAGUGAAAUGCGUUGAUAUCGCUCGGAACACCAAUAGCGAAGGCAAGCUUCUGGGUGCCUCCUGACGCUGCUAGGACGAAAGCGUGGGUAGCGAAUGGGAUUAGAUACCCCAGUAGUCCACGCUGUAAACGAUGCACAUUAGGCGCUAGAAAGUAUCGACCCUUUUUGGUGCCAAAGCUAACGCGUUAAAUGUGCCGCCUGGGGAGUACGGUCGCAAGACUAAAACUCAAAGGAAUUGACGGGGACCCGCACAAGCGGUGGAGCAUGUGGUUUAAUUCGACGAUAAGCGAGGAACCUUACCAAGACUUGACAUGCAGCUGCAACUCCCAGAGAUGGGAUUCUUUCGAAGGUGCUGCACAGAUGUUGCACGGUUGUCGUCAGCUCGUGCCGUGAGGUGUUCACUUAAGUGUGAAAACGAGCGCAACCCCUAUCAUAAGUUACAAGUGUCUUAUGAAACUGCCGGCGUCUAAGCCGGAGGAAGGUGGGGAUGACGUCAAAUCAGCGUGACUCUUACGUCUUGGGCUACACACGUGCUACAAUGGGUAGGAACAAAGGGACGCCAAGGAGUAAUCCGGAGCAAAUCCUAUAAAAACUACCCUCAGUUCGGAUUGAGGGCUGCAAUUCGCCCUCAUGAAGCUGGAAUCGCUAGUAACCGUGGAUCAGCCUCGCCACGGUGAAAACGGUCUCGGGUUUUGCACACAC